UUAACAGCUGACGGUUGCUUCGCUCAGAACGCUUGAGAGCUAACAGCUGACGGUCGUUUCCGUAAAGAGGUAGAAAGAAAUUGACGAAUCUGGAAAUUGGUAAGGAAAACAAUAUUAAUAUAAAUUCACUAAAUAUAUAAUUCAAAAUACUACAUUCGGUUUUAUUAGAUCUCGGAGGGUUUCCCCCGUGAACAGCUGAAGCCCGAAAAAUAGCCGUUGACAGCUCGGAGCAUCGGUCAGGUUUUUUUUUUUUGGAGUUUGUACAGUACACUUUUGGCUUGGAGGGCCAAAGAUUCCAAGACCCUCUUCACCUGAAACUGGAUGGCGAGCCCCAGCCCAGAGGACCAGGCGCACGGGUAGAUAGUGACCCGACUGGUCACCAGCUGAGAGACUUUGAGACUGAAGAAUUAAUUCAUUGGAGACUGAAGUAUUCAAUUUAUUUAUUUAUUUAUUUUUUUU
This is a long non-coding RNA of Xiphophorus couchianus (Monterrey platyfish), 459 nucleotides long. RefSeq lists it as uncharacterized. The record is from RefSeq and is a predicted model, not a curated record. The transcript has 2 exons. Lineage: Eukaryota; Metazoa; Chordata; Actinopteri; Cyprinodontiformes; Poeciliidae.